Molecule: long non-coding RNA, 418 nt
Filed under: Oryctolagus cuniculus (rabbit)
Lineage: Eukaryota; Metazoa; Chordata; Mammalia; Lagomorpha; Leporidae
Description: lncRNA (ENSOCUG00000033893.1)
Source: RNAcentral
GGGUCCUGCCUCCCUUCCUGAAGCCUGACACCAGCCAUUUCAUGGCCCCAAAGCCUUGACGUCUACUCCCAGCAAGCUUAUCACAACUGUGGCCCCCUGAAGAAGAAUGCUGCUGAACGCUUACAUAAACAUUUUUCCACAAGGCGGAGGGAAAUUCAUUUCACUUGACCAGAAGCAGCACCUUUGUGGUGGCCAUCUGCCAGCCAGAUUUGAGAUGACAGUCUCAGGCUUCUUUCAAUGGAUGGAUGAGACUUCAAGUUCCUUGAGGAAAAUCACUGAGAGUUUGCAUGAACUAAAAGGAACUUCUUUGUGGUCAAACGCUGAAGAAGUAAUUGGAUUCCUCUCAAGGAAGAAUGGGUUUCAUCCUGUGGGAAACCAACAUCUCUCCACAUUACAGUGCCUGCCCUCUGGAAGCUGA